CCUACGGGAGGCAGCAGUGAGGAAUAUUGGUCAAUGGACGAGAGUCUGAACCAGCCAAGUAGCGUGAAGGAUGACUGCCCUAUGGGUUGUAAACUUCUUUUAUAUGGGAAUAAAAUGUUCCACGUGUGGGCUUUUGUAUGUACCAUAUGAAUAAGGAUCGGCUAACUCCGUGCCAGCAGCCGCGGUAAUACGGAGGAUCCGAGCGUUAUACGGAUUUAUUGGGUUUAAAGGGAGCGUAGGUGGAUUGUUAAGUCAGUUGUGAAAGUUUGCGGCUCAACCGUAAAAUUGCAGUUGAAACUGGCAGUCUUGAGUACAGUAGAGGUGGGCGGAAUUCGUGGUGUAGCGGUGAAAUGCUUAGAUAUCACGAAGAACUCCGAUUGCGAAGGCAGCUCACUGGACUGCAACUGACACUGAGGCUCGAAAGUGUGGGUAUCAAACAGGAUUAGAUACCCUUGUAGUC
RNAcentral lists this ribosomal RNA (460 nucleotides) under uncultured bacterium. Its description in RNAcentral is "partial 16S ribosomal RNA". It matches the Rfam family "Bacterial small subunit ribosomal RNA", at positions 338 to 795 of the family's 1533-position model. The record is from RNAcentral.